This 878-nucleotide ribosomal RNA is filed under the name Pseudoophiobolus galii. RNAcentral's name for it is "eukaryotic LSU rRNA". It matches the Rfam family "Eukaryotic large subunit ribosomal RNA", at positions 34 to 930 of the family's 3401-position model. Lineage: Eukaryota; Fungi; Ascomycota; Dothideomycetes; Pleosporales; Phaeosphaeriaceae. The record is from RNAcentral.
UUAAGCAUAUCAAUAAGCGGAGGAAAAGAAACCAACAGGGAUUGCCCUAGUAACGGCGAGUGAAGCGGCAACAGCUCAAAUUUGAAAUCUGGCUCUUUUAGAGUCCGAGUUGUAAUUUGCAGAGGGCGCUUUGGCAUUGGCAGCGGUCCAAGUUCUUUGGAACAGGACGUCACAGAGGGUGAGAAUCCCGUACGUGGUCGCUAUCCUUCGCCGUGUAAAGCCCCUUCGACGAGUCGAGUUGUUUGGGAAUGCAGCUCUAAAUGGGAGGUAAAUUUCUUCUAAAGCUAAAUACUGGCCAGAGACCGAUAGCGCACAAGUAGAGUGAUCGAAAGAUGAAAAGCACUUUGGAAAGAGAGUCAAAUAGCACGUGAAAUUGUUGAAAGGGAAGCGCUUGCAGCCAGACUUGCCUGUAGUUGCUUAUCCGGACUUUUGUCCGGUGCACUCUUCUAUAGGCAGGCCAGCAUCAGUUUAGGCGGUUAGAUAAAGGUCUCUGUCACGUACCUCUCUUCGGGGAGGCCUUAUAGGGGAGACGACAUGUAACCAGCUUAGACUGAGGUCCGCGCAUUUUGCUAGGAUGCUGGCGUAAUGGCUGUAAGCGGCCCGUCUUGAAACACGGACCAAGGAGUCUAACAUCUAUGCGAGUGUUUGGGUGUCAAGCCCAGACGCGUAAUGAAAGUGAACGGAGGUAGGAACCCUUUGGGUGCACUAUCGACCGAUCCUGAUGUCUUCGGAAGGAUUUGAGUAAGAGCAUGGCUGUUGGGACCCGAAAGAUGGUGAACUAUGCUUGAAUAGGGUGAAGCCAGAGGAAACUCUGGUGGAGGCUCGCAGCGGUUCUGACGUGCAAAUCGAUCGUCAAAUUUGGGCAUAGGGGCGAAAGA